This 456-nucleotide ribosomal RNA is filed under the name uncultured bacterium. RNAcentral describes it as "bacterial SSU rRNA". It matches the Rfam family "Bacterial small subunit ribosomal RNA", at positions 28 to 507 of the family's 1533-position model. The record is from RNAcentral.
GACUAACGCUGGCGGCAGGCUUAACACAUGCAAGUCGAACGCCCCGCAAGGGGAGUGGCAGACGGGUGAGUAACGCGUGGGAACGUACCUUUCAGUUCGGAAUAACUCAGGGAAACUUGUGCUAAUACCGGAUACGCCCGCAAGGGGAAAGAUUUAUCGCUGAAAGAUCGGCCCGCGUUGGAUUAGCUAGUUGGUGGGGUAAAGGCCUACCAAGGCGACGAUCCAUAGCUGGUCUGAGAGGAUGAUCAGCCACACUGGGACUGAGACACGGCCCAGACUCCUACGGGAGGCAGCAGUGGGGAAUUUUGGACAAUGGGGGCAACCCUGAUCCAGCCAUGCCGCGUGAGUGAAGAAGGCCUUCGGGUUGUAAAGCUCUUUCGGCCGGGAAAAAUACGCAUCAGUUAAUACCUGGUGUGGAUGAUGGUACCGGAAUAAGAAGCACCGGCUAACUACGUG